This 497-nucleotide ribosomal RNA is filed under the name uncultured bacterium. RNAcentral describes it as "partial 16S ribosomal RNA". It matches the Rfam family "Bacterial small subunit ribosomal RNA", at positions 28 to 507 of the family's 1533-position model. The record is from RNAcentral.
GAUGAACGCUGGCGGCGUGCCUAAUACAUGCAAGUCGAGCGAACAGACGAGGAGCUUGCUCCUCUGACGUUAGCGGCGGACGGGUGAGUAACACGUGGAUAACCUACCUAUAAGACUGGGAUAACUUCGGGAAACCGGAGCUAAUACCGGAUAAUAUAUUGAACCGCAUGGUUCAAUAGUGAAAGACGGUUUUGCUGUCACUUAUAGAUGGAUCCGCGCCGCAUUAGCCAGUUGGUAAGGUAACGGCUUACCAAGGCAACGAUGCGUAGCCGACCUGAGAGGGUGAUCGGCCACACUGGAACUGAGACACGGUCCAGACUCCUACGGGAGGCAGCAGUAGGGAAUCUUCCGCAAUGGGCGAAAGCCUGACGGAGCAACGCCGCGUGAGUGAUGAAGGUCUUCGGAUCGUAAAACUCUGUUAUUAGGGUAGAACAAAUGUGUAAGUAACUAUGCACGUCUUGACGGUACCUAAUCAGAAAGCCACGGCUAACUACGUG